CACCACGACCAAGUCUAAGCUCCAAUCUUCCCAAUGCUUAGUUACCUGAAAGGGGAAAAAAUUAUAAGGGUGAGAAAAUCUCAAUAAGCAUAUAUGUGCUCAUUAGUUUCUAAUCAUAUAACCUUUGGAAUCAUAGAACUUGCAUAAAGGAGACACGAAACUAUACCGAACUUAGGUGGCAUGAGUUUUACGUGCGUAGCGCUACUAAAACUCCGGUUCGAAACUUAGAACAUACAUAUGGACCCAUAAACAUAUUUCCAAAAGUACAGCAUAACGAGACGUAUAUACUUACAGUUGUGUGGGGAAAAAAUAAAGGCAAUCAAAUAAAUUGGCUUACUUGGUUUCCACUCAAAAGUUUUCUUGAAUAGCAUGAGUACCCUAAAGAUUUUUGUAAUGUAAAAUAAGCUUGUGUGUAAGAUGAGUUGUGAGAUAGGAGAAAAAAUGAGGUGUGAAUUUCUUGAAAAUCGUGCACAUAUUUAUAGUAUACUAAUGAUGCAUGGGAUAAAUCUCAUAAUUUAUUUAAAUAAAUUUAAAUACUUAAAGAUAAUCUUAAUAUCUAACAAAAUUUUUGAUAAUGUUGAAUAAACAUAAUAUUCAACAAAAUUUGUGAUAUUGUUGAAUAAUCAUAAUAUCCAACAUAAUUUGUGAUAAUGUUGAAAAAUUAAAAAUAAUCAUAUUGUCUAAUAGAAUUUGUGAUGAUAUUGAAUAUUUAAAAAUAACCAUAAUAUCUAAAAUUUGGAUAAUGUUGAAUAAUUAAAAAUAAUCAUAAUAUCUAAAAGAAUAUGUGACAAUGUUGAAUAUUAAAAAAUAAUCAUAAUGUCUAAUAGAGUCUAUGAUAAUGUUGAAUAUUUAAAAAUAAUCAUAACAUCUAAUCGAAUUUAUUAAUUUAAACUUAUCACAAUAUCUUAGAGAUUCUAUCACUUUGAGAUUCAAAUAUUUGUGCUUUAAUCCCUAAAAUAAUAGACAUUAAUCAAUUUGGUCGCUAAACUAUACCGUCUACGUGAUAAGGCCCUAAAUUUUAAUAUAAUAACUAAUUUUGAGGUAUGAGGUGUCACAGGUUAUAUUUUUCUUUAACUAAAUCCCAAACUCAUCAAUCCUUUUUGUUCCCUUAAAUUUUCACUAGUUCACUGUUGUCGCAUACUCUCAAAUAACCAGUACAUGACCACAUACACGUCUACCAUUAUUUCUUAUAUUUAAACAUUCCGAUCACCAUACUUAUACACGUCAAUCCAGUCUUUAAUUGAUCCAAUUCCUCACUUGAAUUUCAGUUCUUUCUUUCCACCCUCAUGCGCUGUCAUUUUAUUUUUUUCAUAAAUACUUCUCAGUCACAUAACCUAAUUGCAAAUGCUGAAAAACAGGGUAAGAAACUUGAAUGUGACAGCCUUUUUUUUUCCCCCCUUAUUCUCUAUCUCUUUCCUUGCUCAAAUAAGGAAAUAGAAUAUAACACCAACAUUUUGUUUUUCCUCUUUAAUAAAUAUCAUCCAACCACCAAACUUAUUUCCCACACUAGAACGCCAUGAUCUCGAUAACGCAAUGUGAAUCCAUAUCCUUAUUGAUCUUCAAAUAUCUAUAAAAGUUUUAUGCUAGAAUAACCUUAGCUAAGUUACCUUCAUAUCUAAAAUAAACAUUCUUUAAUCCUAGUCUCGACAAUAAGGUAACUUGUCAUCCCUGAAUUCCUUAUCAUAUUACUUCGACGAGAAUGAAAUUCUCAAUUCAUGAAAUCCAAAAUCACAAUUGCAGAGAUAGUAAUCCCAUAGCAAUACAAAACUCAUAGAACUCAACUCAUAAUCACAGUUUAACAUGUCAUCUCAAUCGAUUUUAACCACAAAAGUCCCAAUUAUGGUCAUGGGAAGAGUAUUUCACUUUGCAAUCUAAAUACAUCAUCCCAAUAUUAUUUUGACGUACCACUAAUUAUAAAUUUAGUGCACUACUAUUCACAAUGCCCUUUCGAAAUCAUAAAACCUUGUUACAUUGGAUAUCUUGAUACUGUAUGAUCUCAACAUUUAAUCAUGCCAAUUUUCUCCCGUUCAUCUUUCCUUAUAGUAGUUGAAGUAUAGACUUAAAUACUUACUUCUCCCUGAAUCAACAAAAGAUGGGCCGCGGUCACAUUAAUUUACUCAAAAUUGCAAAGUAAAACAUAUUUAAUAACACCAUUUUUUGUCAUGAAUCAACAUUCCAUAUGGUUUUUAUUAUUAUUAUUAUUAUUAUUAUUAUUAUUAUUAUUAUUAUUAUUAUUAUUAUUAUUAUUAUUAUUAUUAUUAUUAUGUCAUAAACAAGAUUCCAUAUCAUAUCUCCACCUCUUGAUUUUCUAAUAUAUGCAUCUUCCUCCAUAUACUAAAUAGAUCCCAUUUUCCCACAAUAAUUCUCAUAGUACCUCAAUCAUUUACAUUUACAAAGCAAUCAUGCUUUCAACUCGUAAUGUCACCAACUAUACAUGUAUCAACAUUAGACAAUACUUAUCAUCCAAGACAUCAACAAAACAUUCCCUCUAAUAGUCAUAAAAGAAACUCAAAACACAAUAAAUCUCAAUUAUGUGAUUGUACAUUCCAUUACUGAGAAAAGUUAUACUCUUCGCUUAACUGUCUGUAUGAUAUAUAGUGCUAUUAUUAAUAUAUUAGAGAAAAUAUAACAUGGCGCCAAUAUGACAACUAUAACUCUCCUUACCAUCGGAUAAUUCUCAAUAACCUCAUCAUACUUAUUAUGCUCAAAUUAAUAAAGGUCCUUAUUUCUUAGCUGCCAAAUCCUUGUUAUCAGGGGCAAUAUGAGUUUCAAAUUCCACAUUGGAGCUUGUGAGUUCUGCCAUCAUGCCACGACUAACAAUCUCAAUGACGUGCUAUUUUGAAAAAGAAAUUCAUGAAUUACUCAACCUUAACAAUCAUUGAACCAAGCUCUGAUAUCAAUUGACACAACCUCUCCCGAAUCACCUCAAUGGACUCGACACGUGCCGUGCGUCGAUAGUAGAUGCCAGUUAAAUGUCAGACCCACCACAAGGCAACUUUUACCUCCUUGAUUGAAAAUAUUUUUUAAUAGAAUUUUGGCAGAGUUUUCCCUAAAAUACGAACUAAAAUCACAUGGACAAUAACCAAUUUUCCUCAAAACAAUACCUAUAAUAUAAAUCAGGGUACGUCAUUCCUUCAAAAUACAAACCAUUCAAAUAAAAUGAUGACAAAUCAAUAUUUACUUACUUUACAAUCAACAGUCCUCAAAUAUAUUAAAGAUACCAAAUAUGCAGUGAACUCGUGAUAACCUUUUUUGACAUAAACUACAUAUAACCCAAAAGAAAUAUGUACUUUAUAAUCGGAUAAAGGAUGUCAUACAACUAAUGACGUGUGGUUCAAUUCGGUGGAUCGACAUGCUCCAAUACUACUCAAUUCGAUUGCUAUCUGAUAUAGAAAAAAGUGAAAAGAUGAAUGAGUUUAUUGCUCAGUGAGUGGAUAAUUUUUAAGUAAAUAUAUUUUUCCAUAUAUGCAUAUUUUUUGAAAAUUUUUGCACUACUAAAACUUCUAGAAAUUCAAAAAUCGGGUAACUUUUAAAACCAAACACGAAUGUAUCAUAAAAUUAUUUGUUCUUCAUUCUAGAUAAGCAACUGUAAGGUAUAAUAAAUAUAAAUAAUCUAAUAACAGUAAAUGUAAGUGAGAAUAUCCUUUCACAGUACUUUAAGCAGAAAUCAUUACUGUACAAACUGAAUAAGUUAAUUUUGGUAGUCUGAAAUCUGAUAAUCUGUAUAAUACUGAAAUCACACUAAAAAGGUACCCAAUGAAUAGCCUUACUCAUGUAUGGAGUAAUAUUGAUGUACAAGGCAACGCCAUUUACAUCUGAUAAUCUGAUCAUACGUAUGCAGAGCUGCUCCAAAGGCUAAUCAACCUAGUACACGGUCCAAAGCCUAUGUGUGUACGAGAGUGGAUUCCAAAGACCUCUGAUAAUCUGGUCAUAUACUAUGGAAACACAUUCACAAUAAUGCAGAACUAGUGAAAUCACCAUAACUGAUCAUACACUGUAGAAACACAUUCACACCAGUGUAAACUAGGGUAAAAUCACCUUAGUACUUUCUAAUGGUUUUAAAAAUAACUUUAAUUAUACUGAAAUAUUUAGUUUUCAUAUAAGUUGCUAAUCAAAUGAUUUAAUUGAAUUGAAUUUAACUUUAAAAGAAAUUAUAAAAUCCACUUUAUUCUAAAAAUCAUGCUUAAAAAUCAACUGUAUGAAAUAAUAAAUUUUAAUAUAAUAUAAAUUUAAUAAAUACUAAUUUCUGAAAAAUAAGUUUGUAUCCACCCACCAAGUCAUAGUCGAUCAUGGUUUCAAUCUUCUCGUCGCCUCACUUUCAAAUACCAAGUAUGAUAUCGUGCUCUCACUACAAUAAAUUAUAUCCCUUUACAAGAUGCCUUGAGUAUUUUCCUGCCAUUAGAAAUAAUAAUUUACCAAUAAAAACUUGAUGUAUUCAAUCUCAUAAUUCCAUUUAGGGUCACUAACAACAUAUACUCUUUUACAUAAAUUAUUUUAACACCAAAACCCAAAAUAUUUAACACCUAAUUUGAUUUUCAUACUGAAAAUGUACAAAAUAAGAUGAUUGACAAAACUAGCACUAUAAUUCUAGAAUAUUGAAAACUGGCACCAAUUUCAAAUCUGGCACCGACAAAAAUAGCGCUUUUUUGGGCAGAAUUUCAAAAAUAGCACAUAUACUAUAACAACUCGAAAAUGGCUAGAAAAAUGGAGAAUCUAAUCUCAAAUCCUUAAUUUUAAGUGUUUAGCAUCAUAUAGUCACAAGAAUUUCAAAGAAUAUGCUUUUAUCUCACAAACCCAUUUUCAAAAUUUCCACUUUCUUCAACCUCAAUAUCCAAAUAAACAUUUCUUUACUAUAUUCUUAUUUAUGAUAUCAAAUACAUAUCAAUAAUACAUAAUUUCUGCUGAACUUUGAAUUAAAGAAAAUUUCCCAUAACGCUUAAAAAAUUUAAUUCAAUAUACUUACCAUUCUAAAUCAAAAUAGAAAGUGGAGAAGUUGAGAAUCCUAGCUUAAACCAUCUUCUUCUUCUUCUUCUUCUUCUGCUUCUUCUUCAUUUUUCUCUUUUUCUUCCCUCCUCUUUUCCUCUCGGUUUCUCUCGACCCUUCUUUCGUUUUUUU
Molecule: long non-coding RNA, 5115 nt
Filed under: Olea europaea (common olive)
Lineage: Eukaryota; Viridiplantae; Streptophyta; Magnoliopsida; Lamiales; Oleaceae
Description: long non-coding RNA (OEUR_LNC010354)
Source: RNAcentral